UUAAUCACCACAAGGAAUUUGUUUCGGUGCGAAUUAGGCAGCAAGGUUUGACAAGAAACUGACGACGACCCACAGACAUGAGAACCUUUGUUGUGUUCUGCUUUUUGAUGGCUUUCGUGAUGGCCUCCCAAGCGCAGAGAGAGGCUACAGAAAUGGACGAAGACGAGUCAGCAGCCUUUAACGAGGAGUUGAAACUCGCCUCUGGAGCUGAAGAUGUCCCUGAAUUCAUAAAAGACUCAGAAAAUCCAGCUGUCGACGCAAGGAAGAAGUAAAGAUCGAAGACGGCGAGACUGAACAUGAUUGCAAACGAAUAAAUCAAUUAUCCUCAAAACGUGAAUUAUAUAUUUUGAAUAUACUGAAAGAUGAUGAUUUGUGAUGCUUUUUUCAACCUGGUGCGACACUGAUUAAAUUUGAAAGAUGAAGUCUCUUUUCAGAA
Long non-coding RNA from Stylophora pistillata, 436 nucleotides. RefSeq lists it as uncharacterized. Lineage: Eukaryota; Metazoa; Cnidaria; Anthozoa; Scleractinia; Pocilloporidae. The record is from RefSeq and is a predicted model, not a curated record.